This 473-nucleotide ribosomal RNA is filed under the name uncultured Anaerolineaceae bacterium. Its description in RNAcentral is "bacterial SSU rRNA". It matches the Rfam family "Bacterial small subunit ribosomal RNA", at positions 898 to 1382 of the family's 1533-position model. The record is from RNAcentral. Lineage: Bacteria; Bacillati; Chloroflexota; Anaerolineae; Anaerolineales; Anaerolineaceae.
AACUUAAAGGAAUUGAGGGGCCCCCGCACAAGCAGCGGAGCGUGUGGUUUAAUUCGAUGCUACACGAAGAACCUUACCAGGGUUUGACAUACAAGUAGUAGGGAAAGGAAACUGGACCGACCCUUCGGGGAGCUUGAACAGGUGCUGCAUGGCUGUCGUCAGCUCGUGUCGUGAGAUGUUCGGUUAAGUCCGCUAACGAGCGCAACCCUCGCUGUGUGUUACAAGUGUCACACGGAACUGCCGGUCAUAAACCGGAGGAAGGUGGGGAUGACGUCAAGUCAGCAUGGCCUUUAUAUCCUGGGCUACACACACGCUACAAUGGGAAGGGACAAUAGGUUGCGAAACCGCGAGGUGGAGCCAAUCCAGCAAAACUUCCCUCAGUUCAGAUUGCAGGCUGCAACUCGCCUGCAUGAAGUUGGAGUUGCUAGUAAACGCAGGUCAGCCAUACUGCGUUGAAUACGUUCCCGGGGCUU